AACGAACGCUGGCGGCAGGCUUAACACAUGCAAGUCGAGCGCCCCGCUAGGGGCUCGGCGGACGGGUGAGUAACGCGUGGGAACGUACCUUUUGGUUCUGAACAACUCCGGGAAACUGGAGCUAAUACCGGAUAAGCCCUAACGGGGAAAGAUUUAUCGCCGAAAGAUCGGCCCGCGUCUGAUUAGCUAGUUGGUGAGGUAACGGCUCACCAAGGCGACGAUCAGUAGCUGGUCUGAGAGGAUGAUCAGCCACACUGGGACUGAGACACGGCCCAGACUCCUACGGGAGGCAGCAGUGGGGAAUAUUGGACAAUGGGCGCAAGCCUGAUCCAGCCAUGCCGCGUGAGUGAUGAAGGCCUUAGGGUUGUAAAGCUCUUUUGUCCGGGAAGAUAAUGACUGUACCGGAAGAAUAAGCCCCGGCUAACUUCGUG
RNAcentral lists this ribosomal RNA (431 nucleotides) under uncultured bacterium. Its description in RNAcentral is "partial 16S ribosomal RNA". It matches the Rfam family "Bacterial small subunit ribosomal RNA", at positions 29 to 507 of the family's 1533-position model. The record is from RNAcentral.